Molecule: ribosomal RNA, 491 nt
Filed under: uncultured bacterium
Lineage: Bacteria
Description: partial 16S ribosomal RNA
Rfam family: Bacterial small subunit ribosomal RNA
Source: RNAcentral
AGUGAACGCUGGCGGUAGGCCUAACACAUGCCAGUCGAACGGCAGCACAGUAAGAGCUUGCUCUUACGGGUGGCGAGUGGCGGACGGGUGAGUAAUACAUCGGAAUCUACUUUUUCGUGGGGGGUAACGUAGGGAAACUUACGCUAAUACCGCAUACGACCUACGGGUGAAAGCAGGGGAUCUUCGGACCUUGCGCGAUUGAAUGAGCCGAUGUCGGAUUAGCUAGUUGGCGGGGUAAAGGCCCACCAAGGCGACGAUCCGUAGCUGGUCUGAGAGGAUGAUCAGCCACACUGGAACUGAGACACGGGCCAGACUGCGACGGGAGGCAGGAGUGGGGAAUAUUGGACAAUGGGCGCAAGCAUGAUCCAGCCAUACCGCGUGGGUGAAGAAGGCCUUCGGGUUGUAAAGCCCUUUUGUUGGGAAAGAAAAGCAGCAGGUUAAUACCCCGCUGUUCUGACGGUACCCAAAGAAUAAGCACCGGCUAACUUCGG